UACAGAGGGUGCGAGCGUUAAUCGGCAUUACUGGGCGUAUUGCGUGCGUAGACGGCUAUCUAAGUCGGGUGUGAAAGCCCCGGGCUCAACCUGGGAAUUGCAUUCGAGACUGAAUAGCUAGGGUACGGUAGAGGGAAGCGGAAUUUCCGGUGUAGCGGUGAAAUGCGUAGAUAUCGGAAGGAACAUCAGUGGCGAAAGCGGCUUCCUGGACCAGUACCGACGUUCAGGCACGAAAGCGUGGGGAGCAAACAGG
Molecule: ribosomal RNA, 253 nt
Filed under: uncultured bacterium
Lineage: Bacteria
Description: partial 16S ribosomal RNA
Rfam family: Bacterial small subunit ribosomal RNA
Source: RNAcentral